RNAcentral lists this long non-coding RNA (920 nucleotides) under Gallus gallus (chicken). RNAcentral describes it as "lncRNA (ENSGALG00010006238.1)". The record is from RNAcentral. Lineage: Eukaryota; Metazoa; Chordata; Aves; Galliformes; Phasianidae.
CACAUCAUAUUACAGGAGAUAUGAAUUCUUAAUGUGCUAUCUGUAUUGCAUUAAUCUUUACAUGCUUCUUGUACUGUGUAUUUAAGAUUUUAACUAUUAAUACUAAGUUACUCCAUUACACUGAGAAGUUUGUGCUGGAGGCUGGCUCCUGGAACUCUUUCUGUCUAGAGAAUUGCAUUCCCGAGAACUGACGUGUGAUUCUUAGUGGCUAAGGAGACCAACAGACGUUGUCAGGUUAGGAUUCAGCAGCUAUUAAUAUGAGUCUCUAAAAUAAGUCCUACAAUUUGGGAUCUAGACAUGUCUAUUUUUCUCCCACUUGCCUGUAGAGAAGCCUGGAAUGAGUAGUUCAGUUGUAAAUAAAGAGCUGUGUACAUUUAGUUUGAUUGAACCCCAUUUCAAGUGAAGGAAAUUUACUGCUGUCUGUUAUCUGAUGGUCUUCUUGGAAGGAGUGAUAUAAAUGCCAUUCAAAACUCUACUCCAUAUCUUCAGGAGCAAUUCUGUCAGAGAGGAAAAGGAAUGAAUGGGAUGCUUUGAGCACUACAAGAUUUUGCAGUUCUACAAAUAUGUAUCAACCAUUAUUUCCAGAGUGACACUGCUUGCCUUGAGAAAUAAUAAAUUAUGAGAUGAGCAGGACAGCACUUUUAAGAAGGACCUUCCCAAGGGAGUGCCGUCUUUGCUAAGCACUAUUGAAGAGAACUGAUGAAAAGCAACACAGAUCAGUGUGAAGGACGCGGCAGGCACUUCAACUCAAAAGCACUCUGAACUGCUUGCUGUAAAUUACACACCUGGAGUACUGUUCCACUCUGAUAAGCUCUGCCCUCUCCCCUUCUCAGCUUUGUGGAAGAGGUACAGGUAAGGAUUACUCUGUUCAUGCCAUGCAUUAAUGUAUCUUUAUACCAACAAAUUCUCAUUAUUUUCCG